RNAcentral lists this ribosomal RNA (529 nucleotides) under uncultured bacterium. RNAcentral's name for it is "bacterial SSU rRNA". It matches the Rfam family "Bacterial small subunit ribosomal RNA", at positions 16 to 518 of the family's 1533-position model. The record is from RNAcentral.
AUCUUGGUUCAGGACGAACGCUGGCGGCGUGCCUAAUACAUGCAAGUCGAACGGUCUUUCUAUGGAAGCUUGCUUCCACUGAGAAGAUAGUGGCGAACGGGUGAGUAACACGUGGGUAACCUGCCCAUAAGAGGGGGAUAACAUCCGGAAACGGGUGCUAAUACCGCAUAGUUUUCUUGAUCGCAUGAUUGGGAAAGGAAAGACGGCCUUUGUGCUGUCGCUUAUGGAUGGACCCGCGGCGUAUUAGUUAGUUGGUGAGGUAACGGCUCACCAAGACGAUGAUACGUAGCCGACCUGAGAGGGUGAUCGGCCACAUUGGGACUGAGACACGGCCCAAACUCCUACGGGAGGCAGCAGUAGGGAAUCUUCCGCAAUGGACGAAAGUCUGACGGAGCAACGCCGCGUGAGUGAAGAAAGGUUUUCGGAUCGUAAAACUCUGUUGUCAGAGAAGAACAAGUUGGAGAGUAACUGCUCCAGCCUUGACGGUAUCUGACCAGAAAGCCACGGCUAACUACGUGCCAGCAGCGGC